This 5010-nucleotide long non-coding RNA is filed under the name Equus asinus (donkey). RNAcentral describes it as "lncRNA (ENSEASG00005031747.1)". Lineage: Eukaryota; Metazoa; Chordata; Mammalia; Perissodactyla; Equidae. The record is from RNAcentral.
GUGAGUCAAAGCUCCCAGCAUCCCUCCCGGACCCGGCCCUCGUCAGCCCCUCGCCUGAGCCUUUCCGCCCCUACCCUAGUCAGCAGACCCCUCUCCCACCCACUCCCGGACCCCAUGCCGGUGGAAGAAGGGGACGAGAUGGGCUGAUUUUCCUUUUUAACGGAGGGGAGGGAAAUAUGUCAUUUGUAGAGCUUAAGCCACACAAAGAAAGCGGCGGAAUGAUCCGCUCUCGGCGACCGCAAGUCCCGGCUCGCCCGGCGCCUGCGCGGCACGGGGGUGGGAGCUGCGGCCGGCCAUGUGCGCGGCGGAGCGGCCCCGCGGCCGCCCAGCCUUCCCGCCUCUUUCUGCGGGCGUAGGAGUUGGGGCGCUAAAGUGCGGGCGCUAACCUCCGUGUCUCCCGGACGUGACCGCCGAGAGACCGGGAAUCCGGACUCCUUCGAGACUAAGCUGAGCCGCCUAGCCGAGUCCUGGGAGACGGAAGGGCGGCCGGGAGGCUAGGAUUUAACCUAAAGUGGCCCUAGGUUCAACUAGGCAGACGGGGACAGGAGUCGCUGUAGAGGUACAAGGGAAGAAGGAUGGUCGUUCUCCACGUCCCAUAACCUGAGCAGUCAGGUUUAUAACGAAGAUAUUAACUGCAACCAACGUUUUGUCUGUGCAGUUCCUGCGCAAUUUGGAAACCAUGAACUCUUUAGGAAUGGCAGGAAUAUUUGCCCUGAGCUAACAUCUGUGCCAGUCUUCCUCUGUUUUGUGUGUGGGUCGCCACCAAAGCUUGGCCGCCAGCAAGUGAUGUAGGUCUGCACCUGGGAACCGAACCCAGGCCAUUGAAGUAGAGCAUGCUGAACUUAACCACUGGGCCAUGGGGCCAGCUCCUGGUUAAGCUUUUUAAACAAGAAUCUUUUAGAAAGCCAUUGAAAUAUUUAAGAGGAAAUGAUAUAUCUGGGAUUUGUUUCAGAGUUAUUUGGAAUCACAACAUGGUAUAGAUUGUGGCAGUAUCUAGGAAAUAAGAGAAGUCGGGAUGAUAAUUGUAGAAGCUGAAUGAUGGAUUCUUGGGGCUUCUUCAUGUUCUCUCUACUUCUGUAUAUGUUGAAAUUUUCUAUACUAGAAAGAUUGUUUAAAUAAUUUGAGUGUAUAACUAAUGACUACAAUUAUGCUUUCAUUGUCUUUUGUUAUUCUGAGUAAUUAUGACACCUGCUGAAAUUACAAAGAAUCUUCAACUUAAAUGUCUUACCAAGCAUGGAAAUUAAAAUGCUGGGCAUUAGUACAUAUUGGGCUUCACUUACCAUGCAUUUUUUAGCAGCUACUACAUGCCGUCAUAUUUAAUCUCUUCAAAGGUAGAUGUUAUCCCCAUUUUAUAAAUGAGAAAAUGUAGACCCUAGGUAAGUAAUACACAGGUAGAAAAUAGAAAAAUUAGGGGUUUUUUUUCUCAUUUGGUCUGCCUCCAAAAAUUCAUGUUUUGUUUUUACUAUACCAUGCUGCUUCUUAGACAUGACUGACUGCCCUUUCUUUUUUGAAGAAGAAGAAGAUUAGCCCUGAGCUAACUACUGCCAAUCCUCCUCUUUUUGCUGAGGAAGACUGGCCCUGAGCUAACAGCCAUGCCCAUCUUCCUCUACUUUAUACGUGAGACGCCUACCACAGCAUGGCUUUUGCCAAGUGGUGCCAUAUCCGCACCCGGGAUCCACAUCGGUGAACCCCAGGCCGCCAAGCGGAACUUGCGAACUUAACCACUGCACCACCGGGCCAGCCCCUGACUGCCCUUUCUUCCAUGCUGAUUUCCUUUUAGGAGUGAAAGCCACGCACAACAGGUAGACAGACUCACAUGUGGAAGAUUUCAGAGGUCUUGUCCUCUGCUUUUCUGUUAAGGCAGCCAGAGUCCCAAGGCAGGUGUUGAAGCUAUACUGCACCUUAAGGAAACCAUAGAACAGUGAACCAAUACAAUUCCAGACCUAACUCACCAAGCUCUGGUUCUCCAACAAGUCAUUUGACCAUUGUUACACGUAUUUGUGUCAGUUACUGUUCCAGAUAACUGAGCUGAUAUUCUUAUCUCACUUUCAGAACAUAGAUUAAGAACUCACCCUUGAAGGCAUUAUGCUAAGUGAAAUAAGUCAGACAAAAAGACAAAUACUGUAUGAUCUCACUUCUAUGUAGAAUCUCAAAAAACAAAACUCAUAGAAACAGUAGAUUGGUGGUUGCCAGGGGUUGGUGAGGGGGAGUGUGAUGGAGAGGGUGGAAUGGGUAAAGAUGGUCAAAGGAUACAAACUUCCGGUUAUAAGAUGAAUAAGUUCUGGGGAUCUAAUGUGCAGUAUAGUGACUGGUUAACAAUACUGUAUUGUAUACUUGAACGUUGCUAAGGGAGUAGUUCUUAAAUGUUCUCACCACAAAAAAAUCCAAAGUAACUGUGAGAUAAUGUUGUGUUAACUAACCUUAUUGUAGUAAUCAUUUCACAAUAUAUAUGUAUAUCAAAUUAUCAUGUUGUAUACCUUAAACUUACACAAUGUUAUGUCAAUGAUAUCUCAGUAAAGCUGAGGCGGGAGAAGCAGCUCAGUCAUAACAUACUGACUUCCAUCCUCCUCCUUCCUGCAUCCGGACUCCACCCUGUUGAGUUACAUCCCCCUCAAUUAGAAGCCAUGCCUGUGCAGCUCAGGAAAUGGAGUAAGUGCAAGGUAGAAACAUCCCCCAACUAAAACUGAGCUUGCUUUCUCCUUUCUCUUCCCAAGGACAUGCCAAGUUUGCAAUAUAAGGGAGCUUGGGACAACCGUCUACUCCCAAGCUGGUUCUAACCAUGGAGCUUUAAGAAUACUUAUAUAUAGUAUGGCAGCGUUUAACAAAAGACCAACCCUGAAAUGUGUGGAGGGAAGAGACCAGAUUCUACAAGCACUUGGAGUUAAAGCAAGACUUGAAUCCAAGAAAGGGUCCAUCCAUUGAGGCCUUAAGUGGGAUCUGGGUAUUUACACUCCCUUUAUUUCGCCUCACCCACCCAUCCACUCAAUUAAAAAGCACCAUCCUUAGGCAAAUCUAGACUCAACUAUGCUUAAAACUAUCCCUUGCUUAUUAGCCCACAGAGUGGGUCAUGUGAGACAGACUUGCAGCUCCAUGGUACACUUUCCCUGCCCCUGGAUUUCUGCAUCUCCAGGCCAGAAAAAGUUAACCCGACAGUUAAAGAGCACAAACUCCACUUUUAUCCACAGAGAUGUCCUUUGACCAGGCAAAAGCACAGAAUCAUUGAAGAAGCUAUACUAUGUUUGAUUCUGAAAAAAGAUUUGGUACUCAAGCCCAAAGAGAUGGAAAACUAGGAAAUGAGAAAUUGAGUUUCAAGUUAGAGAAAGAGAACACUUACAGAUUAUUUAAGGGCAUAAAUUCCAAAACGCCCCACCCCAACCUCCUGAGAAGGCUUUCAAUAGGAUGGGAAGCUGAAAGCUGCUUUUCCCGACCAGCUAACCCACCACUCCCUGCAACAGGCAAACAGUAGGCAAGGUAAUGUAUUAGUAAAACAUUGAAGCCCAAAGUCUUGGUGUAAAUUUAGAUUUUUAAUUUUUCACUUGUACUAAAAAUUGAUUUGUCUGCCCUUCUGCCAUCUGUACAAACAUUCAUGCAGCACCUAGAAGAAAGUACUUAGGUAUCCCUCUUCCCAUUAAACUCUUCAAAUGAAACUCAUUUUGCUUUCUUCUUCCAAGGUACCAUCUUUCUCCAUUAGUACAGGCUCAAAACUCUUCAUUUUUUGUUUAGUUUUUAUUUCAUAAUCAUAAACUUAGCUCUGCAGUGCACCUGGAUUUGGAAGGGAAUAAGAACAUGGAACCCAAAGAGCUGCAGUGAGAGUACAAAGAUUAUAGGAUAUAGUGAGCAGAUGAGGGUGGUAGAUGCUCUCCUGAGCUGCAGAAGGAAUGAUCUAGAGGUUAAGAUAAAACAUGUCAAAUUUACUGGAGUUGUCCAUAGUCAGCAAUAGUUAGCCUCUUGAUGGUCCUGCCAUUCCUGGACUAAAGCACUCCAUGGCUUCCUCUUCUGCCCUACCAAAGACCACGUUUGCCAUCCAACUACUCAGUCUUGGCACUGCAGAUGAAAACAGUUCUGGGAACCAUUUGUGUUGGGUCCAGCGUUUGCAAUGAACAAGAAACUGGGACCACAUGCUUCGGGAUGAAACUCUCAUCAUCAAGUUUCUCCCUGCAGGUGGGCUUGCUGCCGGUGCCAUUAUGGCAUGUGAAGUCACCACUCUGGAACAUAAACCCUGGAAUAAGUCUGUGACAGCGGGAAACUUUAUAACUAAAUCCUUUCUCCCCACUGCUCAAGAGCAUGAAAGUUUUCUGCUGCCUUUGGAACUGUGUCUGCAAACAGCUCAAAAGAGACGGCCUGAGGGCUCGCCAUGGACAUCAAUGUCGGAAGAACACUGGGGUUGACCAUAGCUCGGUGGCACUGACAGCAGUGUCUGCAAAGCCAAACAUUCUUCAUUCUUUAAUCCAAAUUGCUUCUCCUCCCUGAAAAGAAAUCUAUUUUAUUUAUGCCUUUAUCUCCACAAGCAAGGACUUUACCCUAAAUAAGACUAUCACUUUUCUUUCAGAUUACUGAGUCUUGUUCUCUUUGAAUUUAACCUUCCCUUCCUGCCCCCAGACCGUCCUGCCUGCCUACCACUGUUGUCUUCGUCAGAUAUUGCUUUCAGCUUGAGACUCCGCUGAGCAUUACCCUACAGGGUACCUAUGUGGACAUCUAGGCUCAUCCUAGAUCUGGACCUUUCCAGCCCUGGGUUUGGGCAGACCUGCAGUCAAGGAUGAUAGUAUGUGAGAACACUUAGCGUAGUUCCUGGCACAUAGCAGGCAAUGUUAGCUUCUUUUUCCUCUUUUUAUCAAGUUAGGUUCUUUACUGCCCCAAAGACUACCAAGUCUUUGAGUUCAUAUCUGACUCAGAAAUUAUUCUCCCUCUGAGAAACAUAUUCACUCCAAUUUUCUGCCUCUCUAAACCUAUCAAACAUAAACAUUCAAAUUCUACCUUCAAAUUUUAAAACAAUCUUGAAAGUCACAACAG